This 69-nucleotide transfer RNA is filed under the name Ictidomys tridecemlineatus (thirteen-lined ground squirrel). Its description in RNAcentral is "Spermophilus tridecemlineatus (thirteen-lined ground squirrel) tRNA". It matches the Rfam family "tRNA". Rfam says of the family: Transfer RNA (tRNA) molecules are approximately 80 nucleotides in length. Their secondary structure includes four short double-helical elements and three loops (D, anti-codon, and T loops). Lineage: Eukaryota; Metazoa; Chordata; Mammalia; Rodentia; Sciuridae. The record is from Rfam by way of RNAcentral.
GGGGUUGUGGUUCAGUGGUAGAACGCUUGCCUGGCAUGUGUGAGGCCCUGAAUUCAAUCCUCAGCACCA